GCAGUAGCCGCGGGAAUACGUAGGUCCCGAGCGUUGUCCGGAUUUAUUGGGCGUAAAGCGAGCGCAGGCGGUUUGAUAAGUCUGAAGUUAAAGGCUGUGGCUCAACCAUAGUUCGCUUUGGAAACUGUCAAACUUGAGUGCAGAAGGGGAGAGUGGAAUUCCAUGUGUAGCGGUGAAAUGCGUAGAUAUAUGGAGGAACACCGGUGGCGAAAGCGGCUCUCUGGUCUGUAACUGACGCUGAGGCUCGAAAGCGUGGGGAGCGAACAGGAUUAGAUACCCCCGUAGUCCCUGUCUCUUAUACA
Molecule: ribosomal RNA, 302 nt
Filed under: uncultured bacterium
Lineage: Bacteria
Description: partial 16S ribosomal RNA
Rfam family: Bacterial small subunit ribosomal RNA
Source: RNAcentral